GACCUGUUUAUGUACAGAACUGAAGGAAGUUUUACCCAAAAAGAAGGAGGGGAAAUGCAGUUAGAAAAGACUGAAUCUAAUAUGCAGACUGUAAUAUGUAAAACAAUUACACACGGUGUCGCAGACCUAAAUCCAGCUUGAGGAUUUCAUGGAGAGCAACGUGGAGCCGCGAAGAUGCCUGAAAGACCAGUUCUUUUGUCGGAUGCGGAUUCUCCGCAGUAAUAGUGGCGUUGGUGAGGAUGUGGAGAAAAGGGAACCUGGGUGCAUUGUUGGUGGGAAUGUAAAUUGGCGCAGCUGCUGUGGAAAACAGUACGGAGGUUCCUGAAAAAAUUAAAAAUAGAUCUGCCAUGUGACCCAGCCAUCCCACUCCUGAGCGUGUAUCCAAAGGAGGCAAAAACAAGGUGUCAAAGAGAUACCUGCCUGCUUAUGGUUAUUGCAGCAUUGUUCACAACAGCCAAGAUGUGGAAGCAAUCCACCUGCAGAUGACCAGGGGUUGCAAAAGGGAAGGCCUGAGCAGGCUGACAUCUCUGCCCAGGCGGUGUAGGGCAGGGUGUGGAGAAGGGCACCGCUCCUGGGCUGCAGUUCGUCCCCAUCCUGUGCAGCCUCCACUGGCCAUGCCCUGCCCCUUCCUCUGUCCGUGCUGGACCAGGAGGGCCUGAUGGAGGCAGGACCAUGCCCUCCGGGCUCAGUCUCCUGCUGUGUCUUGGAUUUUAUCUGAAUCAAAGUAUCUGGGCACUAAAUAGUGAACACAUCCCUACCCACAAGGAUCCUGGUCCCUCUUUGUCCAAAAACGCUUGCACCUGAGGCUGACGAGACCUCAGGAGGAGCUCCCUCAGCAAAAACGACAUCACCACCCAUGCCUUCUUCCACCACCACCGCAUCCCCGGCAUCUGGACGGCAGGGAGCUCCCCACACGCCUUCACAAGCCAGGAGAGAGGAAAGCCAUUUUGGACACAGAAAAGGCAGAAACCUGGCGGCUUGUUUCCUGAUGACGCCUGCUUUCUUCCACCCUCUCCUCUUCUCUAGGGAGACAGCUACUGGUCAAGGGGAAAAGCAUUGCCUCUGGAGACAGACGUAGGUAACAAUCCUACUCUAUUUCUUACCUGGAGUACCCCCGGUUGUCCCCAUAGCUGAGGCCACGUUCCCAAGUUACUGGAUGGAAGUCUUAUUUGGGGCAUUCUCUGGUUCUAAUUAUCACUAAAGGACAUACUGUCAAAUAAACACAAGGGCCACGUCAACUUUAGCAGAGGCUGGAUGUAUCCGGGAAGCGUUGCGUGCACAGUUAACCCAGACAGCUGCAGCCCGAGACCUUGGCACCGGCGCAAAGGACUGGGCUUGUAAGUCCCCCAACCAGGCUGACUCCCUCAGCUGCUAGCCCCAGCCUCCUAAACUUGUUAGUCUCCUGUGCUCUCCAGCAAACUUACCACACAUCUAGAGGCUUUAAACAACAGAAAUUUAUUCUCUCACGUUUAUUCCUCUGGUGGAGACCUGAAGUCUGAAAUCAAGGUGCCUGCAGGACAGCACUGCCUCCAAAGGGUCUUGCGGAAAACGGAUCCCUCAUCUCUUCCAGCUGCGGGUGCCCCGGGAGCUCCUUGCUUGUGGCUGCAGCCCUCUGGUCUCUGUCUCCACCUUCACAUGCCUCCCGUUCUCCCCUUGGGUCUCCUCUAAGGACACUUGCCUUUGGACUUAGGGGCCACCCAGAUAACGCAAGACCAUCUCGAGAUCCUUAACUUAAUUACGUCUCCAAAGAGUCCUUGGUUGGUUCCACUGGAGUUUGGGGUGAAUCUCUCCUCAUGGGGAACAGAAGACCUCACCCCCAAGUCAGCUCUUCACAGGCCGUGGUGAGGGAGUCUCGUUUGUCAGAACAUCUUUUCUCAAUUGAAUAUUAACCCUAGUCCCUAGGAAUCAUUUAUCAAGAUGUUACAAUCUUUAAAGAAUUCUUACAGGCACAAGGUGUGUAUUAUCUGCGUUAACUCCCAACCAAAACCCCACAGAGCAGUCCACUCCUUCAUUCAAGAAAUAUUUAUUGAAUAAUUACUAUGUACCGUGCAUCAUUCUAAGUUUCAGAGUAACUUUAGAAUUCCAAAUAGAUUCUGAACGAAUUCUAAAUAGAGUUCAUUUAGAAUUUUAGAAUCAUUCUAAAAGGUUUAGAAUAUUGGGAUUUAAAAGUCAAACAAAGUCCCUGUCCUCAUACAGCUUGAGUUGGUGGGGAACUGCACUCUCCCAAGUGAUUAUUCAUUUAAAUCUUGGUAUGCAAUGUCAUUUCAUGCUGGGUGAAAAAUGCAAAGCAGGAAUGGGUACAGAAAGGGUCUGUCAGGCGGUACUCAUGUGUCAUUUGAUAUAUAAAUGGGGUGGCCAUGAAUUCCACAGUGAGAACGUGAUCUGUUCAUAAAGACUUCAAGAACAUUAUAGACCAGGCCAGGUGGAGCUCUCAGGGACAAGCAUUCUAAAACAGAGGGAACAGCCAAUGUGAAUUGAACUGGCAGGGCACCAGGAGGCUUUGGAAAGCAUAAGUUCCUUCAUCACUGGACAGAGUAGGCGGUGAUAUUACUGAAGGAACAGUGAGGCGAGGAGUGCAGAUUCUUGGACCUUUCUGGCCAUUUUAAUACCUUUGCGUUUUCCUCUUGGUAGGUCUGUUUAUCAGUUUUCUGUGGCUACAUAACAAAUUAUCUCAAACUUUUAGACAUUCUCCAUUUAUGAGCUCACAGUUUUGUAGGUCAAAAGCCCAGGAAUAGUAUGGGUUUUCUGCUUAGGGUCUCACAAACCAUGAUCAAGGCGUCAGCAGCAGCACUCACACCGCAGGGGCCACGGCGCUCACGCUGACUGCGGUCCAGGUACAUCUGUCCGUCCACCCACAUUCCACUGCGUCCUCGCUGAACUUCUCUCCCAGAUGACGUGUUUAAAAAUAGUAACAGCAAACUAGUGUUUGUGCUGACUAACGGCUGCAAGAUAGUCCUCUCCUUGGAAUAGGAAUGGAUGCACCAUUAUUUGCUUAGGAUGACCCAGACUGCUGGCUUUUUACGCUGUUUCCAGCCUUUCUGUAUUAAAGAAAUGCAAUCGUUGUUCUUGUGCAAAGGCAAUCAGCAGUUCUCUUACCAAUCAUGUUGUGGGCGUGCAUGCAUAUUCAUAGGUCACAUUCGAGGGGGGCAUUGCUGGGUCUGAACCUGUAAACUGAGUGGAUACCAACAGGGAGAUCCUGCCCCGGGGGGUCCCUCACGGUGUGUGUAAGAGGGAAGAGAGAUGGGAAGACUUCCCAUCACCCCCUUUAUAUAUCUGGCCGAGCACAUACCACUCAUUACCUACAUGUUCUCAAGAUAAACCGUAGUCUCCAAGUCAGAGGACUCAACAGCACUCUAUCAUCAUAGUUCAUCCUAAAUCUGCCUGGUAGUUAGGGUGGCCACCUGUGACAGCCAGCUGGCUUUACGCAGAGGGAAAACCAACCACUCGCAUCUUCACGCAGUGUGGAGUUGGGCUCCUGCGCUCCUUCAGAAACUGGGGCUAGGACUGCCACCUCCCCCAGUGCUGUCAUUCCAGAGAUGCUCCCUGAUCCUUGAGAAAGACAUUCCUCGGUAAUAAAGGUGGCAAGGGGCUUGCUUACUUUCUAAAGAGAUUUGCACACAUUUCAGAGAGACAGAGAAAGAACCUACAAGUUUUCUGUUUUCUUUUCCAGAAGAUAUCUUUUUUAACUGAAGUAUGGUCUACAAUGUCGUGUCAGUUUCUGGUGUACAGCAUAAUAGUUCAGUCACACAUAUUCAUUUUCAUAUUUUUUAUUUUGGGAAGAGAUAAUUAGGUGGGUUUCUUUUUUAAUGGAGUUACUGGGGACUGAACCCAGGACCUUGUGCAUCCUGCAAGUUUUCUAAAGCAAAUCCUCUAAGAAAUUGGAAGAGACACAUCUCUUCUCUUAAUUGCCAACAGGGAGGAGUAACCUCUUAUUUUUAAUGUGUAACUGCCCUCAUGCUUGCUUUCAGACCUCACCACAAGCUCCCAGUUUUUGGUGCCAGUGUGGUGGCCAGAGCCUCCCACAAGCUCCCCACCACCACCUGAGUGCAGGCUGGAGAUGCUAAGCCCUACUUCUCCAGUCCUAGCACCAAAUCCCCAGGACUCCACUCCUCCAUCCACCAUUCAAUUUUCUGUCUCUAGGAGCUUGAGUUCCGAGUUCUCUAAAUAUCCCAUGUAAGUGAAUCAUACACGUUUUGUCCUUUUGUGCCUGCCUUAUUUCACAUAGCAUAAGGGUUUUUUUUUUUUUCCAAGAAGUUUAUGUUUAAUGGAUGUAAACACAUACAUAUAUACAUACAUACCAUACACAUAUAUGCAGGAAUGGAGACAAAAGUUUUAUGGGGGGGGCAGGUAAUUAGGUUUCUUUCUUUCUUUCUUGAGGAGAUACUGGGGAUUGAACCCAGGACCUCGUGCAUGCUAAGCAUGCACUCUAUGAGUUGAGCUAUACCCUUCCCUGGAGACAACAGUCUUAAACACAUGAAACAAAAGUAAUAAAUUUUUUUUUUUUUAGAAAACCCAGCAAGUCAUAAGAGGCGAAUUCACACCCCCACUCGUAGGUAUAUCAUUGGCAUUCUACCCCCGGAAGAUGACAUCUUCCACUGAAAAGCUCAAGCUACAUUUUGUACUUUUUUUAAGGCCAUUCAUAAAAUUCUGAAGUUUUUCUCCUGCAUAUACUUAAAAAAAACUGCAUUAUUUUGCCUAGUUCAAGCGUCUGCCCUCCUUAAAUAAAGAAAAAGCAUUCCACGAAUAUAUUUCCAGGUGGCAAUUCUACUUAGCGCAAUGUUUUCCAGGUUUGUCCGUGUUACAGCGUGUGCGAGAGCUUCCUUCUUUCUUACAGUUACGUAUUUCAUUGCAUGGACAGACCAUAUUUUGUUAAUCUGAUGAUGGACACGUCGCUUGCUGCCACCUUUUGGUUGUUUGAAUAAUACUGCUGUGAACUUGGGUCGAGAACAGUCCUGCAGUUCCUUAAAAUGUUGCACGUAGUGUUAAGCACGUGACCUAGCGUCUGCUCUUAGGUGUCUAUCAAGUGAAUUUUCGGAUUCUCAUUUUUCAGCUUUAUUUUGGGGGCAGUGUUUGAUAAAUACCGUUUGCGACUGUGUACUUCUAGGAACAGGGCUCGUGCUUUGGGGUAAAUAUGCACAUUUCUCCUUCGAAGGAUUCCUAAAUAUUUAACGUCCGUCAUCGCUCUUGUAAAGUUGUUAGUACUAGGAUGCCCUCUGCUGUCAGGGUUGUGAAGUACACCUUUUUACUAGGUGGUUCUAAUAAAUACAAGAGGUUUAGGUCCUUGGUUUUAUUUUUUCCUUUUUCUUGCAAAAUCUUGAUUUUUCUUUCUUUC
This is a long non-coding RNA of Camelus dromedarius (Arabian camel), 5332 nucleotides long. RefSeq lists it as uncharacterized. NCBI's taxonomy places the organism in Eukaryota, Metazoa, Chordata, Mammalia, Artiodactyla, Camelidae. The transcript is spliced from 4 exons. The record is from RefSeq and is a predicted model, not a curated record.